ACUUGGAGGGCUUCAGUGGCUCGGAGUCACGUGGUCAGUAGCGGAGCUGGGAUUUGAACCCAGGUAGUGUGAUGUCAGAGCGCAUGCGAUCAGGAGUGAGCAGCUGUUUGAUUUCGGUUAGCAAGAGCGGGACAACUACCUCCUCACACCUUGCUGUGACAUUUCAGUAACCAAGUGUUCCAAAGGACCUUGUAGAGGUAUUUUCCUCUGUGUUCAAGCCACACGUGAAGCCCUCCUCUGGCAAAUGGUGGAGACCUUGAGGCACAGAAAUACAGCUGAAGACAAGCCAGUCACCUGGUUCUCAUUUGAGGCCUUUUCUCAUUGUUCUCCUGGGCGUCAUCCUCAGAGGGAAGCAAUUUUUCUUCAGUUGGCGAGCAGAGCCGAAAGGGGCCUAGCCAGGACCGCAGCACUGGUUAGUGGCACAACUUGGACAAGAACCCGGUUAUUAGUGAAUUCCUCUUUUCUUCUUUUGAUUUCCUGUGCCAGUUUCAGGAAUCUCAAGGGGUACAGUAUAGUGAUUCAGCAAGUCCACACGUUAUUCAGUGCUCCUCGUGGUAAGUGCACUCUUAAUCCCCAAUGCCUGUUUCACCCACCCCCUCACCCACCUCCCUUCUGGUAACCAUCAGUUUGUUCUCCAUAGUUAAGAGUCUGUUUCUUGGUUUGUCUCCUUUUUUCUUUGUUCAUUUGUUUUAUUUCUUAAAUUUCACGUGUGAGUGAAAUCAUAAAUUUU
This 730-nucleotide long non-coding RNA is filed under the name Mustela putorius furo (domestic ferret). RNAcentral describes it as "lncRNA (ENSMPUG00000028656.1)". Lineage: Eukaryota; Metazoa; Chordata; Mammalia; Carnivora; Mustelidae. The record is from RNAcentral.